UGUGCAGGUUGAUUUAAUGGUAGAUCUAGAUACUGAGCAAGGUUUUAACUUAAUGAGAUUGAUGGACCUGUGCAAAGGAGAAGAACUUCACAGCAGCCAAGGUUUGCCAGGCAGGGUAAUUCAUUUAGCAUUCAUUACCAAAUUUGCCUCACAGUAACAUUAAAAUAUCAAGUGUUAAAAAAAAUUGAGAAUUUAAAGUAAGAAUCUAUCUGAAAAGAUUAAGGAACACCAAGAGCAUUUUUUUGGAAAGCGUCUUUCAAACAGCCAAGAGAGCGACACAGAAAGGUGAAUUAGCUUAAAAAGGAGUUAGCAACAGAGCAAAAUGUGAAAAUGCUAUUGUGGCUAGAAAAUUCUUAGCCAUCAGGCAAAAGUUACCUGCGAUAUUUCCAGGUGCUUCCAACCUUCUGGUGAUUUGAUCUGGUUUGGCUUGAGGGAAGGAACCUUCAUCCCCAUGGGAACUCCAUUGUCUUGGCAACCAGCAAAGGGACUUUCAGUUGUCAUGGCAACAAAGGAGCACCAAGUCCUAGCAGCUGUCCCCACCCUUCAGUCUGGUAAUAAAAGCUUUCAAAACCACCACAGGUGUUUCCUGGAUGUGGAGGAAACUGGAUGUGAAGGCAAUCUGGGAUGCUAGGGAUCUUGCUCUUGCAAAUCAUUUAACAUAGAAACUUUCCACCAGCUGUGUGAGCCAGUGCCAAGGUGUGGAGGUUGCCCUCAGCUGCUGUGGUGGCCGCAAUCCUUGUACAAAAGAAUAGCCGGUAACCAAUUCCACACCUUGAUAACCAAGGCUGCCUCCUCUCCUGUUGCAUCAUGGAUUCCGCCUCUUUCCGGUCUGAACAAUCAUUACGUUCUGAUCAGCUCCCAUCCAGAGGCGCAGAUCCCAGGGAGCUGGCUCAGCUCCACCCAAAAGACGCAGCCAGGAGACUUGGGAAGGAGCCAGACAAAAGUAGCCAAGAACCACAGGGCCUGAUGAGGCUCCGCCAUCCCCUGAGAGCACUGGCCGAGUUAAGAGCAGAUGUCCAUUGUCAGUGUCUGAGGUCUUCUGCACCCCCAGUCGAAACGUACUAUACUCAACUCAACUGGCCACAAGGAGUGCUACAGAGGUGGGCAAAGGAGAAGGAGGACAGGGAGAGAAAUCUUUGCCUGGAUGACUGCCAAGACGCAGCCGUCAGGAGAAGCAACACAUUGGACGAAGCCCCUGGGGAACAGCCGUCGGGGUAUGGAGAGUUGGAGGCUAAGGAAAGCGACUCCUGAAGUACCUAGCACUGAAAUGAAACCCCAACGCAGGUGCUUGGACAAGAAACUAUCGUGAUAAUAUUGCCUGGUGUGGCAAGUGCAUAGUAAAGAAUUUUCUGGUUUCUGUA
Podarcis raffonei (Aeolian wall lizard) is the source of this 1361-nucleotide long non-coding RNA. RefSeq lists it as uncharacterized. The record is from RefSeq and is a predicted model, not a curated record. NCBI's taxonomy places the organism in Eukaryota, Metazoa, Chordata, Lepidosauria, Squamata, Lacertidae. The transcript is spliced from 2 exons.